AAGUCGUAACAAGGUUUCCGUAGGUGAACCUGCGGAAGGAUCAUUAACAAAUCAGAUAUGGGAUGUCGAGCAAUCGACACACCAAUAUAUCAACCCGAACCUGGCAGCAAUGCCGGGUGAGGUGCAGCACUGUAUUGUGCUGCGGUCGGCCUGGAAGUGUUAUGCGGAAGGGCUGGCCACAUAGACGCUUGUAUGUUUGACAGUUUUGUGUGAUUAAUACAAAAAUGACAACUUUUAACAAUGGAUCUCUUGGCUCUU
Molecule: unclassified non-coding RNA, 258 nt
Filed under: fungal sp.
Lineage: Eukaryota; Fungi
Description: partial internal transcribed spacer region
Rfam family: Eukaryotic small subunit ribosomal RNA (bases 1-46)
Source: RNAcentral